UACAGAGGUCUCAAGCGUUGUUCGGAUUCAUUGGGCGUAAAGGGUGCGUAGGCGGCGCGGUAAGUCGGGUGUGAAAUCUCGGAGCUUAACUCCGAAACUGCAUUCGAUACUGCCGUGCUUGAGGACUGGAGAGGAGACUGGAGUUUACGGUGUAGCGGUGAAAUGCGUAGAUAUCGUAAGGAAGACCAGUGGCGAAGACGGGUCUCUGGACAGUUCCUGACGCUGAGGCACGAAGGCCAUGGGAGCAAACGGG
Molecule: ribosomal RNA, 253 nt
Filed under: uncultured bacterium
Lineage: Bacteria
Description: partial 16S ribosomal RNA
Rfam family: Bacterial small subunit ribosomal RNA
Source: RNAcentral